Molecule: ribosomal RNA, 223 nt
Filed under: uncultured bacterium
Lineage: Bacteria
Description: partial 16S ribosomal RNA
Rfam family: Bacterial small subunit ribosomal RNA
Source: RNAcentral
UAACGCGUGGGUAACCUGCCUCGUACAGGGGGAUAACAGUUAGAAAUGACUGCUAAUACCGCAUGAGCGCACAGUGCUGCAUGGCACAGUGUGAAAGACUCCGGUGGUAUGAGAUGGACCCGCGUCUGAUUAGCUAGUUGGUGGGGUAACGGCCUACCAAGGCGACGAUCAGUAGCCGGCCUGAGAGGGUGAACGGCCACAUUGGGACUGAGACACGGCCCAA